UACGUAGGUGGCAAGCGUUGUCCGGAUUUAUUGGGUUUAAAGGGUGCGUAGGCGGCCCUGUAAGUCAGUGCUGAAAUAUCCCAGCUUAACUGGGAGGGUGGCAUUGAUACUGCGGGGCUAGAGUACAGAUGAGGUAGGCGGAAUUGACGGUGUAGCGGUGAAAUGCGUAGAUAUCGGAAGGAACAUCAGUGGCGAAAGCGACUUCCUGGACCAGUACCGACGUUCAGGCACGAAAGCGUGGGGAGCAAACAGG
This 253-nucleotide ribosomal RNA is filed under the name uncultured bacterium. Its description in RNAcentral is "partial 16S ribosomal RNA". It matches the Rfam family "Bacterial small subunit ribosomal RNA", at positions 524 to 776 of the family's 1533-position model. The record is from RNAcentral.